ACACGACUACAUUAGAUACCCGUGUAGUCCAGGGUGUAAACGCUGCGGGCUUGGUGUUGGGGGUCCUUUGAGGGCGCCCAGUGCCGGAGAGAAGUUGUUAAGCCUGCUGCUUGGGGAGUACGUCCGCAAGGAUGAAACUUAAAGGAAUUGGCGGGGGAGCACCACAACGGGUGGAGCUUGCGGUUUAAUUGGAUUCAACGCCGGAAAUCUUACCGGGACCGACAGCAACAUGAAGGCCAGGCUGAAGACUUUGCCGGAUUAGCUG
RNAcentral lists this ribosomal RNA (265 nucleotides) under uncultured archaeon. RNAcentral's name for it is "partial 16S ribosomal RNA". It matches the Rfam family "Archaeal small subunit ribosomal RNA", at positions 719 to 982 of the family's 1478-position model. The record is from RNAcentral.